AAUGACACAAGAUGCGUAGAAGUUGAUGUGAAUCGGGUUUUUCCUAAGUAAUGUGACGAGUAAGAACAGAGUAGGAUUAUGAACAAGAAGAAUAACGGACAAGACGCCUUAGAGGACGACGCUAGGCUAGCGACGACAGAGGACUGUGCCCUUUUUAUUGUUUAUUAAAUUGUAGAAGUUGAUGUGAAUCGGGUUUUUCCUAAGUAAUGUGACGAGUAAGAACAGAGUAGGAUUAUGAACAAGAAGAAUAACGGACAAGACGCCUUAGAGGACGACGCUAGGCUAGCGACGACAGAGGACUGUGCCCUUUUUAUUGUUUAUUAAAUUGUUGAAGUUA
Molecule: long non-coding RNA, 337 nt
Organism: Biomphalaria glabrata
Lineage: Eukaryota; Metazoa; Mollusca; Gastropoda; Planorbidae
Exons: 2
Source: RefSeq, a predicted model, not a curated record